AGGGUCGAUCUUUUUCUUUAAACUUAAUUUUUUCUUAAAAUAUACAUCCAAAAAAUAUAAAAUUACCUCCAAUAGAUCAUAAAUCUUCUAUUCUUGCUCUUGAGGCUUUCGAAUCAGAACUUGAUAAAAUUAUAAUUUUGCCUCUAAAAUACAAUAAAUCUUUUUCCAAGUCAAAAUCAUUAGUAACCCCCUCAAAUAUUUUGUAAUCAUCAAAAUCAAUUCAUAGAGCAACAAUACUGCUGUUAGAAAAUCAGAUAAACUAGCAUGCAUAGAUUUUAAAAUAUUUUUAAACAGCAGUAGAAAUAAAUCUAGGUUAAACCUUUUAACCCCACAUGCAGUAGAUCUAAUCUACAUCUAUCCGAAUCCUGGAUCUAAGAUAUGUAUAUAAUUUAAAAAUUAAAAAUUAAAAUUGAGAUCAGAUCUCAAUACCUUGUGCAGGUUGAAAUACACCACAACCGAUGAUCUUGGAUCUGAAGGUUCUUAAGCCACACACAUGUCCGACCUCUACAGAUAUCCAUCGGGAUUAACCUUGAAUCUUUCUUCUCAUUGUAGAUCCUUCUUCUCCAAGUAAGAUCUCAGUCUUUUGAAUCUUUGAUCAACCUUUGAUCUUUGACUGCGAAUUCAACACUUGAACAGCAGCUUUUCUCCUCAUUUUUGAUGUAGAAGCAAUCACCUUCUUCAACUUGGGCGUGUGAGAAGAUGGGAUGCCCAACUCUUAGGCAUUGGAAAGAGAGGAAGAAGAAGAGAUGGCAUGGAGAAGGAGAGAGAGGUUUGAAAUCUCAAAAAUUUAAUUCUUUUUAAAAAAAAAAUCUAAGAGACUAUCUCCUUAAAUAGGUUUUUUUUUAAUUUCAAAUUGUUAUCCAAUCAGGCUAAAAAAGUUAAUCCUUAUCUUAUAAGAUCACUUGCCUUUUAAUUUGACUUUAUUUUCAAAAAAAUUAGAUCCAAUUGGAAAGGCCCUUGCUUUAAAUGUCAAGUGGAUGUGGCACCCUCAUCUUAUAAGACAAGAUGAGGGCUGCUACUUGAUUUAUAGGCAGGUACUUGAGGUGCCAACUCUUGAUGUCUCCUUAAGAUUUUAAGUGCUCAGGAGAGAAGGCAUGGCCCCUCUCACUCUCCUUUUAUGCCUAAACAAAAGAGGAGUGGGCCCCUCUUUCUUUCAUUCGUCUACUCCAAGGUAUGCACCUUUGAUCUUUCCAAAAAGAGAGGUAUGUGCUUCCUCUUUCUUUCCAAUUAAUCCUUGCCACAAAAGAAAAAUCAAGAGAAAAGAAAAAAAAUUUAUUUGCCAACUAAUUGGCUUGAUCCAAUCCUUUUGGGCCCACAAAUAGGUGCCCAGCUAACCCCAAAUUAAAAUAAAUUUAGAUUAGGUUCAAGGCUAUGGACUUGAUCCAAUUCUUAUCUAAUAAGGAAUCGAAGUCCAAAGAAGAAUUGAGUUUAACCAUAUGCUAGCAUGGUUCUCUUAACCCCAAUAAGAUUUUACUAAAUUCUAGCCUAAUUAGAACUUCAUAAGUUCAAUUGGUUAAUUCAAGAUUAAUCCCUUAAUGUGUGACCCCACAAGUUUCAUUCUAUCUGGUAUUGAGAUAUAUUAUGAUCUCCAUCAUAAUAUCAUCGAAACUCUUUUUGAUAAGUUGGAACAACUCCAGCUCUAUCCUUCGAGGAUCAUCAAUCAUUAAGAUGACACUCGAUGAGUCCCACAAUCCACUAGUGACAUUUAGCAGUAUGUAGUGGCAACCUAGUAGAAUGAAAGUGUGAACUCCUAGGUGUAGUUAUCAUAUGAUUCAGUCUUUCUAUCAUAUGUCCUGACUUGACGGAGGUCAUGGAGAACUCGUCAAACCCCAUCAUC
RNAcentral lists this long non-coding RNA (1837 nucleotides) under Elaeis guineensis (African oil palm). Its description in RNAcentral is "long non-coding RNA (EGUI_LNC035724)". The record is from RNAcentral. Lineage: Eukaryota; Viridiplantae; Streptophyta; Magnoliopsida; Arecales; Arecaceae.